AGAGUUUGAUCAUGGCUCAGGACGAUACGCUGGCGGCGUGCCUAAUACAUGCAAGUCGAGCGGACCGAACGAGAGCUUGCUCUUGUUCGGUCAGCGGCGGACGGGUGAGUAACACGUGGGCAACCUGCCCGCAAGACCGGGAUAACUCCGGGAAACCGGAGCUAAUACCGGAUAACACCAAAGACCGCAUGGUCUUUGGUUGAAAGGCGGCUUCGGCUGUCACUUGCGGAUGGGCCCGCGGCGCAUUAGCUAGUUGGUGAGGUAACGGCUCACCAAGGCGACGAUGCGUAGCCGGCCUGAGAGGGUGACCGGCCACACUGGGACUGAGACACGGCCCAGACUCCUACGGGAGGCAGCAGUAGGGAAUCUUCCGCAAUGGACGAAAGUCUGACGGAGCGACGCCGCGUGAGCGAAGAAGGCCUUCGGGUCGUAAAGCUCUGUUGUGAGGGACGAAGGAGCGCCGUU
RNAcentral lists this ribosomal RNA (465 nucleotides) under Geobacillus thermodenitrificans. RNAcentral's name for it is "bacterial SSU rRNA". It matches the Rfam family "Bacterial small subunit ribosomal RNA", at positions 8 to 460 of the family's 1533-position model. Lineage: Bacteria; Bacillati; Bacillota; Bacilli; Caryophanales; Anoxybacillaceae. The record is from RNAcentral.